This 326-nucleotide ribosomal RNA is filed under the name Siro acaroides. Its description in RNAcentral is "partial 12S ribosomal RNA". Lineage: Eukaryota; Metazoa; Arthropoda; Arachnida; Opiliones; Sironidae. The record is from RNAcentral.
GCGUUAUUAAGUUUAGGUAUUAAUGAUAAACCUAAUAAUUUUGGCGGUGUUUAUACUUUAUAGAGGAAUUUGCUCUUUAAAAGAUGUUACUCUAUUAGAGCUUAAUUUUUAGUGUGUCUACUGCUGUUGGUUGACUAAUUUGUUAAGAUUUAGUCAGGAAUUUUAGAAUAUUUUAUUUCAAGUAGAAGUGCAGCGUUAUAAUUAAGAGUGAAGUGAAUUACAAUAAUUAAAUUUAUCAUGAAUUGGUUGUUGAGAAAUAGUUAUGAAGGUGGAUUUAUUAGUAAUUUUUAGAAAGUUUAUAAAGAUGAAGAUGUUCUUAAACAUGC